RNAcentral lists this transfer RNA (66 nucleotides) under Parapolybia crocea. RNAcentral describes it as "tRNA-Cys". RNAcentral also lists the same sequence under 1 other name. Lineage: Eukaryota; Metazoa; Arthropoda; Insecta; Hymenoptera; Vespidae. The record is from RNAcentral.
AAUUUUAUAGUUUAUUAAAAAUAUUAAAUUGCAAAUUUAAAGAAAAUUUUAAAAUAUUUAAGAUUU